This 433-nucleotide ribosomal RNA is filed under the name uncultured bacterium. RNAcentral's name for it is "bacterial SSU rRNA". It matches the Rfam family "Bacterial small subunit ribosomal RNA", at positions 29 to 507 of the family's 1533-position model. The record is from RNAcentral.
AACGAACGCUGGCGGCAUGCCUAACACAUGCAAGUCGAACGAAGGCUUCGGCCUUAGUGGCGCACGGGUGCGUAACGCGUGGGAAUCUGCCCUUGGGUUCGGAAUAACUCAGAGAAAUUUGAGCUAAUACCGAAUGAUGUCGAAAGACCAAAGAUUUAUCGCCCAAGGAUGAGCCCGCGUAGGAUUAGCUUGUUGGUGAGGUAAAGGCUCACCAAGGCGACGAUCCUUAGCUGGUCUGAGAGGAUGAUCAGCCACACUGGGACUGAGACACGGCCCAGACUCCUACGGGAGGCAGCAGUGGGGAAUAUUGGACAAUGGACGAAAGCCUGAUCCAGCAAUGCCGCGUGAGUGAUGAAGGCCUUAGGGUUGUAAAGCUCUUUUACCAGGGAUGAUAAUGACAGUACCUGGAGAAUAAGCUCCGGCUAACUCCGUG